This 443-nucleotide ribosomal RNA is filed under the name uncultured bacterium. RNAcentral describes it as "partial 16S ribosomal RNA". It matches the Rfam family "Bacterial small subunit ribosomal RNA", at positions 338 to 795 of the family's 1533-position model. The record is from RNAcentral.
CCUACGGGAGGCAGCAGUGGGGAAUAUUGGGCAAUGGGCGAAAGCCUGACCCAGCAAUGCCGCGUGAAUGAAGAAGGUCUUAGGAUUGUAAAAUUCUGUCCUAUGGGAAGAAAAAAAUGACGGUACCAUAGGAGGAAGCCCCGGCUAACUACGUGCCCGCAGCCGCGGUAAUACGUAGGGGGCGAGCGGUGUCCGGAAUUACUGGGCGUAAAGAGAGCGUAGGCGGCAAUAUAAGUCUCAUGUGAAAUACCCGUGCGUAACUUGGGGGUUGCAUGGGAAACUGUAGAGAUUGAAUACAGGAGAGGCAAGCAUAAGUGCUAAUGUAGCAGGGAAAGGCAUAGAUAGUAGGAGGUACGACAGGGGCGAUGGCGGCUAGCAGGACUGAAACAGACGCUGAGGCUCGAAAGCGUGGGGAGCAAACAGGAUUAGAUACCCCUGUAGUC